RNAcentral lists this ribosomal RNA (253 nucleotides) under uncultured bacterium. RNAcentral describes it as "partial 16S ribosomal RNA". It matches the Rfam family "Bacterial small subunit ribosomal RNA", at positions 524 to 776 of the family's 1533-position model. The record is from RNAcentral.
UACGUAGGGCGCAAGCGUUAAUCGGAAUUACUGGGCGUAAAGCGUGCGCAGGCGGUUAUGCAAGACAGAGGUGAAAUCCCCGGGCUCAACCUGGGAACUGCCUUUGUGACUGCAUAGCUAGAGUACGGUAGAGGGGGAUGGAAUUCCGCGUGUAGCAGUGAAAUGCGUAGAUAUGCGGAGGAACACCGAUGGCGAAGGCAAUCCCCUGGACCUGUACUGACGCUCAUGCACGAAAGCGUGGGGAGCAAACAGG